GUAUAUACAAAGACCAGGACAUGAUCGUUUCAGAACUUGGAUCAGAGAGGUUUCCGGAAGGUGCGAGGAAGCUGAAAAGGGAAACGGUUACCGCCUGCGAGUAUCGCUUUUGAAAAAGCGACGAUUCUCAUCGUUAUUGAGCUUGAGUGCCUGUUUCAUGGAAGAAACAGGAAAUAAGGUGGUACCGCGUUGAACAACGUCCUUAAU
RNAcentral lists this non-coding RNA (207 nucleotides) under Holdemania filiformis. RNAcentral's name for it is "T-box sequence". It matches the Rfam family "T-box leader". From Rfam's summary of the family: Uncharged tRNA acts as the effector for transcription antitermination of genes in the T-box leader family. Lineage: Bacteria; Bacillati; Bacillota; Erysipelotrichia; Erysipelotrichales; Erysipelotrichaceae. The record is from RNAcentral.